CCAAGAUCCACUUCUUCUAGACCCUUACUUCUUCUUUAUCAGAAACCGGAGGAGAGAGGCAUGGGGGAGCCUGACAGGAAGUGAGGAUUCUGGGACUUCAAAUACACACAUUAGAAAAAACAAGCAACAUCUGCAAACAGACAGGAAUCCAGGCUGAAUCGGCAGUGUAGUUUCAACAGGGAUGAAAACACGGAAGACCACCUCUCCCCUUGCUGCUGCCGAGAGGAGCAA
RNAcentral lists this long non-coding RNA (231 nucleotides) under Bos indicus x Bos taurus (hybrid cattle). RNAcentral describes it as "lncRNA (ENSBIXG00000001841.1)". The record is from RNAcentral. Lineage: Eukaryota; Metazoa; Chordata; Mammalia; Artiodactyla; Bovidae.